This 223-nucleotide unclassified non-coding RNA is filed under the name Hevea brasiliensis (rubber tree). Lineage: Eukaryota; Viridiplantae; Streptophyta; Magnoliopsida; Malpighiales; Euphorbiaceae. The record is from RNAcentral.
AAUUGAAAUGUGGUCUUUUCUUCUAGAAAUGUCACAACACUGGUUCCAAUCAUCUGUAUAUUUUACAAUGUAAUUCUUUUAUAAGUACUUCUCCAAAGAAUUAGGUAGAUGAAUCACAUAUAGAUAUACAUAUUAAAUGGAAAAAGUCUAAUUUUUUUCCCCUCCAAAUCUAAAAGAGUAAUCCAAACCAGAACUUGGAUAUAUAUACAAAGGCUCUCUCUCC